UUUUUUUUUUUUGCCUUGCCAUUUUUUUUUUCUUUUUUUUUUUUUAAAGAGAGAAGGAGGGGGCUGGUUGGCGGAGAGAAAGGGAAGUGGGAAACGAGCAGAUGGGGGAGGAAAAAGCCUAAGAAGAAUCAGAGAGGAAAAAGCCGCUGGGAUGGGGCAGAAUUUGCACACCCCCCCUAAAAAAAAAAAAAAAAAAAAAAAAAAAAAAAAAGGAAAAGAAAGAAAGAAAGCCUAAGUGUGGAGGAAAUGAAAGCUGCUCUGACUGCGAGUGCCAGCGGAGGGCUGCAGCGGGGAGCAGCCCAGGGGUCCCGCUCCGGUCGCCCCGCUUUCCCCGCCGCCAGCGCAACCUCCUCUCGGUCCCGCUGCCUUUCCCUCCGUCCCGGGGCCGCUCCCGCCCCGCAGCCUCGCCACGAUCCAGCCGCUUCCCGCAAAGCCAAACCCCUCGGGGGAGAGACCCGGCACCUCCUGCAUCCUGCCGCCCGGCGCGGGGUGUGCGCGGGGGCGGAGGGGCCGCGCCCGCGGAGGACGGAGCGGUGCCCGCCCGGCCCGGGAGCCGCCGGCAGGAAACCUCAGGAGCCUCCUUGCCUCGGGCAGUCUGCUGGAGAUGUGGGGAUGGCUGGAUCUUGCAUCAGCACUCAGCAGUUCCCGCUGCCGUGCCCACAAGCCGAGCGUGGGUUGUGUCUCCGCAGGGACGCGGAGCGGGAGCUCCGGGAGGGGAAGCCCCAGCACCACAAGGCUCCCCAAAAUGCAGUGUGAUGGCAGGGUGGGAGGCUUGCCCAGCAGCCAGGGGGAGCUGAGAUGAAUAAAUCAUUAUCCAAAAGGUAAGUGGCAGCUCUCAGUGAAGCAAACCCGACAAAGUCCAAUACCCAGUGGUCCCGUGUCCAUGCUGAGAGGCCUCCAUGGGCUCCUGGCUCUGCAGCACUGGCACAUCCCUGCUGCUCAGUCUGGCUGUGAGCCUUUACCAGCCCUUUACUGAAGCACCAGAACAUGGAAAAAAUGCUGCUUCUUGCUCCUGGUGACACCAACCCCUCCAGCAGCUUUUAAGGAAAGGUUUCUGCCCCUCUGCCCAGGCAAAGGCAUCGUGCCCUGUGCUGGCUUUGGAGUCUGGUGUGCCAAGGUGGAAAGAAAUCCUUGGAGCAACUGUGCUGUUCUCUUCUUACCUGAUGAAAAAUAAUAAAAGAGUGAUUAAACAAUUAAUACUGGGUGUUGCUUAACAGUUGCUAAGAGGUUUACUCAAUAAUAUUCUGAAGCUUUUUUUUCCUCUAAUUUAGGAAUAAAACAGACAUAAUUGAGCAUGCUAUUCUGAAGCUCCAAAUUACACUCUGAAGAGAAUUGAAGGAAACACAUUUCUUUGAUUUGAAUAUUUUUCUCAUUAACAGGAGGCUCAGAGUAAAGCAAAAAUAUUUGAUGCACAGAGCCUGUGGCAGUAUCAAGUUAACACUGGUGUGCUCCUGCUUUUUACCUCAUGUUUACUAAUCAACCCAAAAAGAAAGGUCACAUCUUUCAUCACAAAACGGAAACUUUUUGACAAGAAACAAUUGGAAUUUCAGCAUUCCCUUUGAAGUGGGUUCCAGCGUGGAGAGUGAGAGAACAAAAUAGUGGGAUUAGACAACCAAGCAGAGCUGUGCCCUUGGGAUGUUACCACACACUCUGAGUAAGGGACUCUCGGGUGGAUCCAGGUAUCAUGCUGCUCUAAGACAGGGGUAUCUAAGCCCAAAUCGUUUGGAGAAGAGAAUAAAUAAUGUUUGGGUGGGUGUUGGUGAGCAGUUUUGGCUCAGACAGCAGUGUCAGGGUUGAGACACUGCUGCAUGUCUGGUCAGGAUGCUGCAGGACGAGCCAGCCUGAAGGUGUGAGAGCCAUGGCCACCUGCAGAGUGUUAAACCAUGUUCCUCUUCUGUGGAGUCUUCUUUCUUUUAUCUUCCCUGUGGCUGUACCACAGCCCUCUAGUUCUAUUCUUUCCCUGAUUUUUUUUUUUUUUAAAGACCUGUAUUUUGAGAAAGUGAAUUUUCUUGGCAGUUGGGAAAAAAAAAUACCAUUUUCCCAGGUAGAAAAAAUGGCAGUUCCACAAGCAAAAUACUCUCUGUAUAAUUUCUUCUUUUUCUCUCCCUUUCCCAUUUCUUUUGCUCCAAGGGGAGGAGAAGCCCUGCUGGGUAAGGGAAUUUCUGCCUCUCUGGGAGCAGUUCCCACCCAUCCCUGGGUGCAGGUGGGAGCUGGACCAGGGGUUGCCAGCAGAUGUGGCUGGAUCACACUGCUCAGAGCUCACCUUCACUGUCCCCUGAGCUCUCCUGCAAGUUACAGUCAUGCCCUCAAGACAACUGAGGUGAAAGCAGAGAAGUGACCACGAAAUGUCACUGGUUCUCUUGUUCUUCCUUCCCCUCCACUGGUUGCACAGACAUCAGCCACCUCCAAGGACUCUCCCAGGCAGUGACAACCACAGGAGACUUACCCCUGGCUAGGACUUACACCCUCAGCCUGCUGGGGAAAUGGUGGGUAUGAAAAGAUGCCCACGUUGCCUGCAGCUGUAGCACAUAUUGCAUGGCAGGACACACACAGAAGUGAGAUUAAUUUGAGUUCUGGGCAUCAUUAGCUCAAUUAAAACUGUGAUUUUUUAGCUCAGACCUACAGGCCACUGAGGAGAAGAGCAAUCAUAAGACAGAAAACGAGUUCCCUAGUUAAAAAUUAAUUCCCCAGACUAAAAAUAUAAUCAAACGGUGUCUACAGCACUUUAUGAAGAGCUGGGAGGAUAAUAAAAUUUAAAGCAGUGCAACAUUUGCAUUUUGUUCCUUUCUCUCCAUAUUUUUCCAUAGACUGCCUUUCUGUGUGCUUGUUAAUCAUAUGCACUGCUACAGUCCUGGCAUUUUAAGAUCACUGUUCACAUCAAGAUUGAAAGGAAACUAAUUACAACCGCAUUUCAGGCUGCUUGUUCAAAGCUCGUACGGCGCCGGCUACAGCGCAGGAGCCUUGACCUUUAUUUGUAAGCAUGGAAAUAAGGUGAAGAUGAAAGAUUGGUUUUUCCUCCAGCUCUCGUUCGGGGAUCAGGAGGCCCUCCGGAGCAGCAGGGAUGUGGCAAACCUCGCUCCUCGCCUCCUCUGCCGUGCUGGCAGCAGAGGCCAGUAGAGCUAUGCAGAAGCUGUUCUCCACUGCAGAGAGGUGAAGGAGAGCUCCGCUGUUGUUUUGCAGCUCGCCCUCGGGCUAGGAGAACACGGGAAGAAUUAGAAGCCCCGAGGAGUCUGCCUUUUUGACCCCCAUCCAGAGCUUGGUGUGCAGUGCCUGGUGCUCAGAUGAUGGAGGUGCCUGUUACCUGCUGGUGAGAGCUGCUGGCAGUGCUACAGCCUCUUUUGCCACUCAAGUUAGGGCUUAAUAACACUAAUAGGAUCUAGGAGGACUCAUCAGGGCAGAAUAAGGUCCCUCAAACCUGAGGGAGUGCAGGUAAUCCUGAAGCUAUCCCUGAUUUCAUUCAGUGUGGAUGCAUUGAGAACACGCUGAGUGGCAGAGUUACACAGUGGGUUUCACCCUCUUCUCUGUGCCCCUGAAUUUUCAAAGCUGUAACUGUCAUAAAUUUGUACUAUGCCCAAAAUAAGCUGAGAGGUAUUUACACGAACAGGUUUCAGCCCAGGAGCUGCUGCUGUGGCCUUUUCACCAAAUGUGCUUUUCAGGGUCACUACCAGGUGUUCAAAAAGCUGUGCCAUGGCAAGAGCCGACCCCAGAGGGGUCCUGAGCUUCCAUCCUCCCUGGAUUAUCACAGCUCUGCACUGGAAUGAGCUCACUGAGGAAAAGUUCUCCACCCCUGAACCAAACCAAUCCCAUUCUCCACUUGUAUUCCACGCUGUAUUUACCCUGCACAGUCAUUGCAUUUGCCAGGCUCCAUGUUCAUCACUGCUGGAGCCCUGAGGUUCAGUGGCUUUAUUGGCAGGCUCUGCCAAGUAAUUUGUAUCUCCUGGUUGGAAAAGCUCUGUUUAGGGCAUUCAGCAGUGAAAGGAGGGAAAGACUCAUCUCACACCCAACCCAGAGCCCUGCUGCAGGCAGAGGACCUCUCUUUCCUGGUCCAUGCUGAGGACACAGACCUUGGACUGGAUGUUCCUGGGACCCUGGAUGCCGCUCAAACCAAGAAGCAAAGAUGAUUUUGCAACACUUUUAUCUCAUGUUCUCCUUCUGCCUACAUUCUUCAAAGCAAAAAUUCACUCAGGCAAAUAUUUACAGGAACUAAAGAAAAGGAACAGACCCCUGCUAUAGACACUGCUGCAGUGAACUUCUAAUUACAAUCCACACAGCGGUUAUGAAUAAAUUUAUCUAUUAUUUGUGUAGUUCUAGCACUGCAUACACUUUGCCUUGUACCAUUACAUGCUGAAGGAAACAAUAUGCAGCAUGAAAAUGAAAACAAUUUGACUUAAUUAUUUACACCAUUUACCGCCGCUUUGAAUGAGGCCCUCCAUUUCUUCGGGAUUUUGUAAAAUUUAACUGCUAAUUAUGCUUGCUUAAUUAAUUUUAUUUAUCUACCACUACAAUAAGAUCAAAACAACAACAACAACAACAACAAAAAGAUCAAAACCACAACCCUACCAGAAUGGAAAGCACAGGCUGUGUCCCCUAAUUGUAAAUGUUGCUUUUAAGCCUUUAUGAUAAAAAUGUAAUAUUUUGUAGCGUUUCAUUUGGAGCGUAUCUGGCCACGCUCCAGUACUAUUUAAGUGUAAACAGGAAAAGCCUUGGAGGACAAGUAAUCAUACUCAAAUGGCACAAAGAUCAUUACAAUAAUGUUCCAAAAACAUGGCAAAAUUAGACAUUGCAAAACUGUUUUCUUCUCUGAAGUGUUUCACCAGAUGGCGAAGAGUGCUGAAACCGUAGAUCCGAGAGGGGAGGAAAAACAUCUCCGCAGUUUUCUCCGUGCAGGAUGCUCAGCUCCCACCCCAGCUCGUCUGAAGCGGCAUCUCCCACCUUGCCUCCAUCGAACCUUCAAGCUGGAGAUGACAUCAAGGUGUUUUUGAGAGCAGCUCAGCGCUCAAUCACAGCCUGGGAAAUCCCCGCUUUGCUCCGUUCAAGUUGUCGACCGGAUUUAUUCCGGCGAUGAGAACGAACGAGCGCGUCAGCAGAAGUUAUUGUGGUAAUUUGUGAAACUCUUAAUGAGAUAUUUUCAGAGCUCAUAAAAAGGAAGAGCUAUGUCAUUGAAUUACUGCACAAUAAGUGCAUUUUGAUACAGGAAAAGAGUUGGGCUUUUAUCAGAAAUGGCACUGCAUGAGUGGGGACGUGUCAGGGAGUAUUUAAAGGGGUCUGACAAGGGUCUAACAACCAUUUCAGAAAGUCAGGGCUGCUCCACAUAAAUGGGACAUGUCUGUGUGUGUUGCUGCUCUGUGAAAUGGCCACAAGUGAGGUGACUGCACUAAAUGUGUUCCUUAAGGACUUGACAAAGUUCCUUUCUACAGGACUUGCAGUGCCUUCAGAUGUCACCAGCUUUUUGCUUGCUUUCUUGUUAAAAGUAUCUUAGAACCAUCUAGAAAUUAGUCAUUAAAGUAACACCUAAUUUUGUUGCUUAGAUAUUGAAAGGAAGUCCUUCUCUCAUGGCUAGGGGUUUCUACUUUUAGGAGUAUUGGUGAACCCCAAGUAUUUGCCAUCCAUCCAUCCACCCCCUCCUGAACCUCUAACCUCUGUUAAUGUAUUUUGGAGAAUCUGUGAAUGAACAAGGUGAAAUGCUUGGAGUUCCUGAAAUCAUUAGUGGUUUCUGCUGACCCAAUCCCAGCUCCCUAUGGAAAAGCCUGUCAUGUCCUGGGAGACGAGAGAGCCACACUGGGGACAGGAGCUGUGCCCUGGAGGAGAGGGUUUCUCAUCAACUGAACACAAGCAGCUGGGCUGAACGAUGGUGAAGAGGGUGUAAAUGCACUUCCAAGCCCUCCACCUUCCAGAAAUGUUGGCUUUCUCAAUAAUUUCCUUGGGAACAUACGUGACAAAUCCAGAUCCACAGGAAAUCUCAUCCUUCUUCACUGAAAGAGCCUGAAAUGGAAGGUGACUUCAUUCCUGACUGGCAGUCAUUCCAGCUCCAUGCUGAGCAAGGAAACAGCCUCUUAUUCACCAUAUUACAAAUAUUUUUGAACUGAAUAUUCAUCGUGUCCAAAGAACAGCCUGCAGGCUGCAUUCAGUGUGCUUCCAUUACCCAGAGUUAGCCACAAAAAUUAAGCAAAAAUCCCACCAUUUUCCACCUAUCCCCAUUCAAAGAACAUUUGGAAGUGGGGCUUGCAAAUGGAAAAGGGUUGACUCUAACAUUAGGAAUUUGGUUUAUCAGUUUGCAUCCAGCUCAUCUGCUUAAUUGAAAAGCUUGUCCAUGGAUGGUUUCCAACAGUUUGUUUUCAGGGAAGGGCUGAUUUUAACCCACUUCCUUGACCAUUUGCUGAGCACAGCCUGUGGGUGACAUUAACUGCCAUCCCAACAAUCCCUCUCUGAUGUCAUGAGAUGCAAAGUGUCCCAUAGUCUUGAAAACUGACUGUACUCUGAGCUUGCACUGAUCCCAUGUUCUUCCCAAGCUAAAUAAGUUGGGAGAACCAGGUCUCAGGGGCACUGAGCCUCAGUUUUCCAUCUGUAAAAUAGCAAUACAAGGACUUUGGUAAAAAAUUAUUGCAUUUUCACCUGACAUGGACUGUUCUCUUUUUAGAAGGACUCUUCUAGCAACACCAGAUCUUUCUGAAAACUUGAUUCACCAAAAAACCCACUUUACAGUAAUUGGUAAUCUCUCUGUCUUCAGCAAGGCCAAGGUUUUAUUCUCACAUCUGAGCUUAAUUAUGUUUUCAGAACCGUGUCACGGAGGCUUAGAUGAAAUUCUUGCUUUGUGUGCAAGAAAGUCGCUCCACAUUUGCAUUUGCUUUGACAAGAACCACUGAUCUCAGCCAAUAUGGAGCGCUCAGAAUUGGCAGUGCUCCAGCUGGACAUCUCUUUUACAUUCUACCUAAAUUCCAGGCAAAAUAUCAUCCCUUAUGCUGAAAUGCUGAUGCCUUCAAGGGAGGGAAUAAAGCCUGAUAUAUGAAAAUGAAAUCCUGCUGCCGAGAGCUCCAUCUCCACCAACCAGCAGAGGUUGCUCUGAUGUUAGUGAACAAUCAUGGAGCUUAUUUUCCGUGAUAAAACCCCUGAAGGAAACCAAACACAAUUAUUGAGGUGAUGAAAUGAUCUGUGAGCAAGAAUGACAUGGAAUUUGCUGUGGGUGGGUAGGUUGUGAAACAGCAAUCCCUGGUCCAAAUCUUCUGGACAACCAGCUGCCCAUGGGGUUUUCCAACAUCACGUUGUGACCAGGCGGGUUCCAGGAACAACAGAGCACGGCCAACACAUCCUGCUUCCCAUGAGAUGGUGAGAACUGGGAUUCUUCUUCUAGGAUAUAAAUUCUGUCCCACUGGCCCUUAAAAAUCCAGGAGUUCUGCUAAUUUUAAUUGAUCCUUGAAUGGAAAUAAAGGAAACACAUUCUUUGCCCUUACUUAGCAAAGAGGAUUUUUUUUUUUUCCUUUCCCAGUUAUUAAUUUCCUUAAAUGUAAAGUGACAUCUAAAAUGAAAACAGUUUAUUGCUUGCCAGGAGCAAAGCCAGCCUAAUUUAAGAAAUUCAGAAUCAAAGCUUUUGAAGCAUAUCAGGGCAUGUUUAUAAAACAAUUAUCAUUGCAAACGUUCUCUCUGCUCAACUCAGCCUCUUCAGGCCACCUCCCGAAGCCUGAAACUUCAUCACCAGUCUUCCCCACCCUCAAAUGUUUCAUCAGUCGCAUAAAAUCAGGUCAGCCCUGGAUUGCAGCUUCCCUUCGUCGACCCAGGCGUUCGAUCCCAAAUCAAACCGACCUGCAACUCUUCGAUGCCGCAAGAAAAAUGAGCUGAGUGCUUAAAAUUAAGUAGCAGGCUCAUCAUUAAGAACCGACAGCAGACAAAGGAAUGCAGUGACCUCUCCAACAGAGCAUUUAAAUCUUUGCGCAACAUGCUCUGCUUGUUCGAGGCUGGUUUCACAAACAACAGCUGUGGAGUUCGUUAACAUAUGAAUCCCCUUGAGGUAAUUUGGAGGAGCCAAAUGUGCUAAACUAAACACCUCGUUAAGACACUACUCUAAAAAAAACAAAACAAAACAAAACAAAACCAAACCCCUGACCAAACCAAUUUCACUUUCACGUGUGGAGGUUCUGUCGUGUGGAAUUCAUUUGUCUGGCGUGGCUGGAAAUAGGGGGGGUUAAAAAAUCAGUGAUAAUAUGGGGCUUUUCUCUGCUGAGAUGCACUUGAGACUAAAUUGUCUUUGAAGUGUAGUCUGCCACAAAGAAGCGAUUAGCUGAGGACAAUAAUGUUUUCUUUUGCUCCCUGUUACUAAGCACAGGACAGGAGGUUGUACUAAAAUACGCAGGACCCCGUUGUUUCUCUUCAGUCUGGGGAGCCAAUGGACACGACCAGAGGGACUCUCUCUCCAGCAGGUCUUGGAUGGGGCCAAGGCAGAAGCACACCCAAGUGCCCCUGGGGUCACUGUGCCCCCCAGGAGGGCCUGGCAGGAGAUUUGGAGGGAAGUUCUCCCUGACAAACACUGAUGCAAGUCCAGGUGACCACACACAAGAGGUGCAGUCCGAAGGCACUGGAAGAAACGCCUGUCCUUGUUCCUGAGGGCUGCAGAGGGCUCAGAUGCCUUGAUCAGAUUUUGCCACCAAGAACAGCUGCUUGCCAUCCUUUUUUAUUUCUCCCUUUUUUGUAAUAGUUAUAUAAUUUUGCCAGUAAAGGAGUUCACAAUCUCCUUGGUGACACUACUAGAAGUCCCUCCUGGAAAACAGCAUCUCCUGCCCAGGUAACGCUGCUCAGUGAAGCUUGAAUGGCUUCAAACCCACACAGAAAUUCACUCUUCUCCAAAAUAAACAUGUUUUCUUCUCUGUCUCCA
Myiozetetes cayanensis is the source of this 8863-nucleotide RNA transcript. It is a transcript of the gene named translation initiation factor IF-2-like, with no coding region annotated. The transcript is spliced from 2 exons. The record is from RefSeq and is a predicted model, not a curated record. NCBI's taxonomy places the organism in Eukaryota, Metazoa, Chordata, Aves, Passeriformes, Tyrannidae.